Molecule: ribosomal RNA, 253 nt
Filed under: uncultured bacterium
Lineage: Bacteria
Description: partial 16S ribosomal RNA
Rfam family: Bacterial small subunit ribosomal RNA
Source: RNAcentral
UACAGAGGGUUCAAGCGUUGUUCGGAUUUAUUGGGCGUAAAGGGUGCGUAGGCGGCGCGGUAAGUCGGAUGUGAAAUCUCGGAGCUUGACUCCGAAACUGCAUUCGAUACUGCCGUGCUUGAGGACUGGAGAGGAGACUGGAAUUUACGGUGUAGCGGUGAAAUGCGUAGAUAUCGUAAGGAAGACCAGUGGCGAAGGCGGGUCUCUGGGCCGGUAUUGACGCUGAGGCGCGAAAGCUAGGGGAGCAAACGGG